CUCCAAGGCUAAAUACUCCUGACUGACCGAUAGUGAACCAGUACCGUGAGGGAAAGGCGAAAAGAACCCCGGCGAGGGGAGUGAAAAAGAACCUGAAACCGUGUACGUACAAGCAGUGGGAGCACCCUUCGGGGUGUGACUGCGUACCUUUUGUAUAAUGGGUCAGCGACUUAUAUUCUGUAGCAAGGUUAACCGAAUAGGGGAGCCGGAGGGAAACCGAGUCUUAACCGGGCGUUAAGUUGCAGGGUAUAGACCCGAAACCCGGUGAUCUAGCCAUGGGCAGGUUGAAGGUUGGGUAACACUAACUGGAGGACCGAACCGACUAAUGUUGAAAAAUUAGCGGAUGACCUGUGGCUGGGGGUGAAAGGCCAAUCAAACCGGGAGAUAGCUGGUUCUCCCCGAAAGCUAUUUAGGUAGCGCCUCGUGAAUUCAUCUCCGGGGGUAGAGCACUGUUUCGGCUAGGGGGCCAUCCCGGCUUACCAACCCGAUGCAAACUGCGAAUACCGGAGAAUGUUAUCACGGGAGACACACGGCGGGUGCUAACGUCCGUCGUGAAGAGGGAAACAACCCAGACCGCCAGCUAAGGUCCCAAAGUCAUGGUUAAGUGGGAAACGAUGUGGGAAGGCCCAGACAGCCAGGAUGUUGGCUUAGAAGCAGCCAUCAUUUAAAGAAAGCGUAAUAGCUCACUGGUCGAGUCGGCCUGCGCGGAAGAUGUAACGGGGCUAAACCAU
This 731-nucleotide ribosomal RNA is filed under the name Salmonella enterica. RNAcentral's name for it is "partial 23S ribosomal RNA". It matches the Rfam family "Bacterial large subunit ribosomal RNA", at positions 458 to 1190 of the family's 2925-position model. The record is from RNAcentral. Lineage: Bacteria; Pseudomonadati; Pseudomonadota; Gammaproteobacteria; Enterobacterales; Enterobacteriaceae.